AUUAUUUUGGCAGAUUAGUGCGAUGAAUUUAGAAUUCUUUUAUAUAAAUUAAUUUUAUAAAUAAUA
Molecule: transfer RNA, 66 nt
Filed under: Lusotyphlus lunai
Lineage: Eukaryota; Metazoa; Arthropoda; Insecta; Coleoptera; Carabidae
Description: tRNA-Leu
Source: RNAcentral